AGUGAACGCUGGCGGUAGGCCUAACACAUGCAAGUCGAACGGCAGCACAGUAAGAGCUUGCUCUUACGGGUGGCGAGUGGCGGACGGGUGAGGAAUACAUCGGAAUCUACUUUUUCGUGGGGGAUAACGUAGGGAAACUUACGCUAAUACCGCAUACGACCUACGGGUGAAAGCAGGGGAUCUUCGGACCUUGCGCGAUUGAAUGAGCCGAUGUCAGAUUAGCUAGUUGGCGGGGUAAAGGCCCACCAAGGCGACGAUCCGUAGCUGGUCUGAGAGGAUGAUCAGCCACACUGGAACUGAGACACGGCCCAGACUCCUACGGGAGGCAGCAGUGGGGAAUAUUGGACAAUGGGCGCAAGCCUGAUCCAGCCAUACCGCGUGGGUGAAGAAGGCCUUCGGGUUGUAAAGCCCUUUUGUUGGGAAAGAAAAGCAGCAGGUUAAUACCCCGCUGUUCUGACGGUACCCAAAGAAUAAGCACCGGCUAACUUCGUG
This 492-nucleotide ribosomal RNA is filed under the name uncultured bacterium. RNAcentral's name for it is "partial 16S ribosomal RNA". It matches the Rfam family "Bacterial small subunit ribosomal RNA", at positions 29 to 507 of the family's 1533-position model. The record is from RNAcentral.